This is a transfer RNA of Camelus ferus (Wild Bactrian camel), 72 nucleotides long. It matches the Rfam family "tRNA". From Rfam's summary of the family: Transfer RNA (tRNA) molecules are approximately 80 nucleotides in length. Lineage: Eukaryota; Metazoa; Chordata; Mammalia; Artiodactyla; Camelidae. The record is from Rfam.
GAGGGGAUAGUUCAGUGGUAGAGUGACUGCCUAGCAUGCACAAGGUCCUGGGUUCAACCCCCAGUACCUCCA